UACGGAGGGUGCAAGCGUUAUCCGGAUUUACUGGGUUUAAAGGGUGUGUAGGCGGACUUUUAAGUCAGAGGUGAAAUCUCCGGGCUCAACCCGGAAACUGCCCCUGAUACUAUUAGUCCUGAAUAUUGAUGAGGUGGGCGGAACGGGUCAUGUAGCGGUGAAAUGCUUAGAGAUGACCCGGAACACCAAUUGCGAAGGCAGCUCACUGGGCAAUUAUUGA
RNAcentral lists this ribosomal RNA (220 nucleotides) under uncultured bacterium. RNAcentral's name for it is "partial 16S ribosomal RNA". It matches the Rfam family "Bacterial small subunit ribosomal RNA", at positions 524 to 743 of the family's 1533-position model. The record is from RNAcentral.